GGCUUCCAGGCACCCUGACUGGCCACCUGGGAACGUGGCCUGCAUUCCUAGAGAGCGAGCCUGGAAUAGAUGCCCUGAGAGCAUCUGCCACCAUAAAAGCAAGGAAGGAAGCUGCCUAAGGGCUGGGUUCUUCGACCUGCACCCUUGUGUCAUCACCUGGCCUCCUGACAGCCCUGCAUGGCGGAUAAGCUCAGCCUGCCUCACAGACGAGGAGCCCAAGCUUUGGGGCCAAUCUUGCCAUUGGCCCAAGUGUCUGGGUGCCAGGAAGGCCUCAGAACCUGAUGAUGGAAGGCCUCAGAGGGCACAGAGCCUGGUAUCAGCUGCUCAGAAAGAGUUAGCAGCUCCUACUGUCUGUGAAAAAGCUCCAGUAAGAAACACCUAUUAGAGCAUCACCUCAGAUGGAAUCAGCUUCUGCUCUCAAGCUGCCAAUCCCAGCUUCCGGACGAAAAGAGGACAGCCCCUCAGAACUCGUGAGGCCUGUCACUCACCCCUUCAGUUGUAGGGACCCC
RNAcentral lists this long non-coding RNA (509 nucleotides) under Sus scrofa (pig). RNAcentral's name for it is "lncRNA (ENSSSCG00070009674.1)". The record is from RNAcentral. Lineage: Eukaryota; Metazoa; Chordata; Mammalia; Artiodactyla; Suidae.